UACGUAGGGUGCGAGCGUUAAUCGGAAUUACUGGGCGUAAAGCGUGCGCAGGCGGUUGUGCAAGACAGGUGUGAAAUCCCCGGGCUUAACCUGGGAACUGCACUUGUGACUGCACGGCUAGAGUACGGUAGAGGGGGAUGGAAUUCCGCGUGUAGCAGUGAAAUGCGUAGAUAUGCGGAGGAACACCAAUGGCGAAGGCAAUCCCCUGGACCUGUACUGACGCUCAUGCACGAAAGCGUGGGGAGCAAACAGG
Molecule: ribosomal RNA, 253 nt
Filed under: uncultured bacterium
Lineage: Bacteria
Description: partial 16S ribosomal RNA
Rfam family: Bacterial small subunit ribosomal RNA
Source: RNAcentral